AAAAGUAUGAAAUUUGUUUACGUAAUUUGCUACACACGGUUAACAAUGAUAUUUUUUUGAUCUUUACAAGUGGCAAAAGACGACUAGGGAAUAAACCUGGAUUAUUGAGUUGGCCUGCUAUUUAAAUUUUGACUCUUCCCUUUCUGCAGCUUCUUUAUUACUCUGUUUAUAGAUUCAUUUCUUCUUAUAAUCAGUUAUGCUUUUUUCAAAAAUAUGAUGCAGGAUCCUGACUCUGCUUCUGAUUUG
RNAcentral lists this unclassified non-coding RNA (246 nucleotides) under Hevea brasiliensis (rubber tree). The record is from RNAcentral. Lineage: Eukaryota; Viridiplantae; Streptophyta; Magnoliopsida; Malpighiales; Euphorbiaceae.